RNAcentral lists this unclassified non-coding RNA (292 nucleotides) under uncultured fungus. RNAcentral's name for it is "partial contains small subunit ribosomal RNA, internal transcribed spacer 1, and 5.8S ribosomal RNA". The stretch from base 1 to 73 matches the Rfam family "Eukaryotic small subunit ribosomal RNA", at positions 1759 to 1831 of the family's 1831-position model. The record is from RNAcentral. Lineage: Eukaryota; Fungi.
UCAAACUUGGUCAUUUAGAGGAAGUAAAAGUCGUAACAAGGUUUCCGUAGGUGAACCUGCGGAAGGAUCAUUACACAAUAUGGUCCGGUCUACUCUGUAGUUCCGGCAUCGCCGGGGGGCUUCACAGCCCCCGUCUGCACCCUUGUCUUUGCGCACUCAUGUUUCCUCGGCAGGCUUGCCUGCCGUUAGGACAACCUAAACUCUUGAAUUUUCAAUCAGCGUCUAAAAAACUAUAAUAUUUACAACUUUCAACAACGGAUCUCUUGGUUCUGGCAUCGAUGAAGAACGCAGC